Transfer RNA from Felis catus (domestic cat), 85 nucleotides. It matches the Rfam family "tRNA". From Rfam's summary of the family: Transfer RNA (tRNA) molecules are approximately 80 nucleotides in length. Their secondary structure includes four short double-helical elements and three loops (D, anti-codon, and T loops). Lineage: Eukaryota; Metazoa; Chordata; Mammalia; Carnivora; Felidae. The record is from Rfam.
GCCUGGGUGGCUCAGUCGGUUAAGCAUCCAACUUCGGCUUGGGUCGUGAUCUCGCAGUUCGUGGGUUCGAGCCCCGCAUCGGGCU